RNAcentral lists this non-coding RNA (21 nucleotides) under Caenorhabditis elegans. Lineage: Eukaryota; Metazoa; Nematoda; Chromadorea; Rhabditida; Rhabditidae. The record is from RNAcentral.
UUAUUCUUGCUUUCUGUUUUG